RNAcentral lists this ribosomal RNA (800 nucleotides) under bacterium. Its description in RNAcentral is "bacterial SSU rRNA". It matches the Rfam family "Bacterial small subunit ribosomal RNA", at positions 71 to 883 of the family's 1533-position model. The record is from RNAcentral.
GAUGCCCACUUGUGGGUGGAUUAGUGGCGAACGGGUGAGUAACACGUGAGUAACCUGCCCUUAACUCUGGGAUAAGCCUGGGAAACUGGGUCUAAUACCGGAUAUGACUCCUCAUCGCAUGGUGGGGGGUGGAAAGCUUUUUGUGGUUUUGGAUGGACUCGCGGCCUAUCAGCUUGUUGGUGAGGUAAUGGCUCACCAAGGCGACGACGGGUAGCCGGCCUGAGAGGGUGACCGGCCACACUGGGACUGAGACACGGCCCAGACUCCUACGGGAGGCAGCAGUGGGGAAUAUUGCACAAUGGGCGAAAGCCUGAUGCAGCGACGCCGCGUGAGGGAUGACGGCCUUCGGGUUGUAAACCUCUUUCAGUAGGGAAGAAGCGAAAGUGACGGUACCUGCAGAAGAAGCGCCGGCUAACUACGUGCCAGCAGCCGCGGUAAUACGUAGGGCGCAAGCGUUAUCCGGAAUUAUUGGGCGUAAAGAGCUCGUAGGCGGUUUGUCGCGUCUGCUGUGAAAGACCGGGGCUCAACUCCGGUUCUGCAGUGGGUACGGGCAGACUAGAGUGAUGUAGGGGAGACUGGAAUUCCUGGUGUAGCGGUGAAAUGCGCAGAUAUCAGGAGGAACACCGAUGGCGAAGGCAGGUCUCUGGGCAUUAACUGACGCUGAGGAGCGAAAGCAUGGGGAGCGAACAGGAUUAGAUACCCUGGUAGUCCAUGCCGUAAACGUUGGGCACUAGGUGUGGGGGACAUUCCACGUUUUCCGCGCCGUAGCUAACGCAUUAAGUGCCCCGCCUGGGGAGUAC